Molecule: ribosomal RNA, 422 nt
Filed under: uncultured bacterium
Lineage: Bacteria
Description: partial 16S ribosomal RNA
Rfam family: Bacterial small subunit ribosomal RNA
Source: RNAcentral
UUUUGGACAAUGGGGGAAACCCUGAUCCAGCCAUCCCGCGUGUAUGAUGAAGGCCUUNNNGUUGUNACGUACUUUUGGCAGAGNAGCNAAGGUAUCCCCUACUACGGGAUACUGCUUAUGCUCUCUGCAGAAUAAGCACCGGCCAACUACGUGCUAGCAGCCGCGGUAAUACGUAGGGUGCAAGCGUUAAUCGGAAUUACUGGGCGUAAACCGUGUGUAGGCGGUUCGGAAAGAAAGAUGUGAAAUACCAGGGCUCAACCUUGGAACUGCAUUUUUAACUGCCGAGCUAGAGUAUGUCAGAGGGGGGUAGAAUUCCACGUGUAGCAGUGAAAUGCGUAGAUAUGUGGAGGAAUACCGAUGGCGAAGGCAGCCCCCUGGGAUAAUACUGACGCUCAGACACGAAAGCGUGGGGAGCAAACAGG